GCCCGCCUAGCUCAAUCGGAUAGAGCGUCAGACUCUUAACCCUUGAGGCUGCACAGCGACCACAGGCGGGCCAAUCUGAAGGCUGCGAGUUCGACCCUCGCGGUGGGCU
Non-coding RNA from Rhodofomes roseus, 109 nucleotides. NCBI's taxonomy places the organism in Eukaryota, Fungi, Basidiomycota, Agaricomycetes, Polyporales, Fomitopsidaceae. The record is from the annotation of a RefSeq genome assembly.